UUCGAUGUCUGCAGCGCCCAGUCGACGCUGAAGUAGCGGCGCGGCUGGUCCGCUAGCGUUUGCGAUAGGGUGAAGUGUGGGCGACAGAGCCUGGAGCCCUUUGUCAGGUAACUGAACACACACACCUGCCCAGGAACUGGAGAAGCUGGAGGAGUCUCUCGAGGAAGGUGGAGUGAUGGCAGACCCAGCUGUUCCUCACAUGAAGGAGAUACCAGUUUAAGAAAUGAGUAACUGCAUAAUGUUUGAAGAUUUGAAGUGGGUGGUGACAUAAGCAGAAAGGGUUAAAGAUUACUGCUGUAUAUCACUGUGGUGACUGAAGAAAGGGCUUUGCUACUCUGAAUGCCAGAAUCUGAAGCCUUCAAUCUUGAACAAGACUAGACAUCUGCCAAGAAGUCCUUGACCUAAAUGUGAAAGAAUCGGAUUUGGAUAAUAUCCCUCCUCAAUAAUUAUGGGGGACUCCUCUGGUGGUCCAGCGACUAAGACUCCUUGCUCCCAAUGCUGGGGUUCAGUCCCUGGUCA
Molecule: non-coding RNA, 519 nt
Organism: Odocoileus virginianus texanus
Lineage: Eukaryota; Metazoa; Chordata; Mammalia; Artiodactyla; Cervidae
Source: RefSeq, a predicted model, not a curated record